GUGAACACUUGCACAAUGGAUCUUUCUUCAAUUAUACUGUUCUGUGCCUCAGCAGCUGCUGUCUUUGGAAAUGUCAUCAAAACAAAGAAAACUGAUGUUUUUUAUGAAGAGGGUUCAGAAAUUGUAUUGUCCUGUAGUCAAUCACCUGGAGCUUCAGAUAAUAUCUACUGGUACCGUCAGUAUGAAAGAUCAAAACCUGAAUUUCUUGUACUCACCUACGGUAAUUCAAAAGAACCUGCCGUGUCUGCUGUAGAUCCAAGAAUCUCUGUUAAACCUGAAAAAAAAGAGGAACAAAUCCAUGCAGAUCUGAAGAUCUCUUCUGCUGCUGUAUCAGACUCUGCUCUGUACUACUGUGCUCUGAGGCCCACAGUGACAGGAAACACAUCAGCUCUCUACAAAAACCUGUUACAAUGAGACACAGGAGAAAAAAGACAGCAAGAAAUAACACAAUGUUAAAUUAUCACAAAUGAUUCCCAUGUGUAAUACAGUAUAUAGUGAAUACUGUACAUUCAGAUGG
Molecule: non-coding RNA, 517 nt
Organism: Carassius auratus (goldfish)
Lineage: Eukaryota; Metazoa; Chordata; Actinopteri; Cypriniformes; Cyprinidae
Source: the annotation of a RefSeq genome assembly